RNAcentral lists this ribosomal RNA (498 nucleotides) under uncultured bacterium. RNAcentral describes it as "partial 16S ribosomal RNA". It matches the Rfam family "Bacterial small subunit ribosomal RNA", at positions 28 to 507 of the family's 1533-position model. The record is from RNAcentral.
GACGAACGCUGGCGGCGUGCCUAAUACAUGCAAGUCGAGCGGACGAAUCGAAAGCUUGCUUUUGAUUCGUUAGCGGCGGACGGGUGAGUAACACGUGGGCAACCUGCCCUGUAGACGGGGAUAACACCGAGAAAUCGGUGCUAAUACCGGAUAACACGAAAUGUCGCAUGACGUUUCGUUGAAAGACGGCGCAAGCUGCCGCUACAGGAUGGGCCCGCGGCGCAUUAGCUAGUUGGUGAGGUAACGGCUCACCAAGGCGACGAUACGUAGCCGACCUGAGAGGGUGAUCGGCCACUCUGGGACUGAGACACGGCCCAGACUCCUACGGGAGGCAGCAGUAGGGAAUCUUCCGCAAUGGACGAAAGUCUGACGGAGCAACGCCGCGUGAGCGAAGAAGGCCUUCGGGUCGUAAAGCUCUGUUGUUAGGGAAGAACAAGUAACGCAGUAACUGGCGUUACCGUGACGGUACCUAACGAGAAAGCCACGGCUAACUACGUG